Molecule: non-coding RNA, 45 nt
Filed under: Schistosoma mansoni
Lineage: Eukaryota; Metazoa; Platyhelminthes; Trematoda; Strigeidida; Schistosomatidae
Source: RNAcentral
AUCCAACUAACGAGUCCCAAAUAGGACGAAACGUGCAUCCUGGAU